Molecule: ribosomal RNA, 585 nt
Filed under: uncultured bacterium
Lineage: Bacteria
Description: partial 16S ribosomal RNA
Rfam family: Bacterial small subunit ribosomal RNA
Source: RNAcentral
UGGGGAAUUUUGGACAAUGGGGGAAACCCUGAUCCAGCCAUCCCGCGUGUGCGAUGAAGGCCUUCGGGUUGUAAAGCACUUUUGGCAGGAAAGAAACGUCGCGGGUUAAUACCCCGCGAAACUGACGGUACCUGCAGAAUAAGCACCGGCUAACUACGUGCCAGCAGCCGCGGUAAUACGUAGGGUGCAAGCGUUAAUCGGAAUUACUGGGCGUAAAGCGUGCGCAGGCGGUUCGGAAAGAAAGAUGUGAAAUCCCAGAGCUUAACUUUGGAACUGCAUUUUUAACUACCGGGCUAGAGUGUGUCAGAGGGAGGUGGAAUUCCGCGUGUAGCAGUGAAAUGCGUAGAUAUGCGGAGGAACACCGAUGGCGAAGGCAGCCUCCUGGGAUAACACUGACGCUCAUGCACGAAAGCGUGGGGAGCAAACAGGAUUAGAUACCCUGGUAGUCCACGCCCUAAACGAUGUCAACUAGCUGUUGGGGCCUUCGGGCCUUGGUAGCGCAGCUAACGCGUGAAGUUGACCGCCUGGGGAGUACGGUCGCAAGAUUAAAACUUAAAUGAAUUGACGGAGUCAUAGCUGUUUCCU